CCCAAAGCCGCACUAGUCGACUACAAUAUACCCUUGAGCGGCAGUAACAGUUAUUACUACAUACAUAUGUAAGCGGUCUAAAAGUUUUGGGUUUCUGCGAUUUUGAAUUCUGCAUACGAAUUUUUAUUAACAAAAAUAUCAGUUUAGAUAAGGUAUACUCGUAGAAAAGUUUAGGUAGGAAAUAGUAACUGAAAGGGUUUAUAAAGCUCUAAAAAGUCUAUAUCCCAAAAUAUUCGGUAGUUGAAAUAUUUCCAGUAUGAAAAAUACAUAUGUAUUCAUUAAAAGUACGAUAGGUGGGUGGAAAGAUUUCCUGCUACACGGUUUUUUGAUAAAUGUUUUAAUUUAUAAUAUCUAAAUAUUUUUAAAUAUUUUUUUUUAUUAAAAAAAAUGCAGUAUACCCACGUACUUAUUCUGGUACUGAGUGUUAAAGAGGAGCGACGUCAGCGCAGGCAGCAAAAAAAGUACAAUAAUCAAAUAAUUGCGGCAGCUUCGUCGUCGCCCCCCGCACACAAACAUAUGUGCUCUCAAUCCCCUCACACACAUACGCAAUUGUCAAUCAAAUGUAAGCACAGGGUCGCCACUUCUUUUUGUUCAGCUUUUGAUUUUGCGGCAGUCACUGAGAAUGAUCAAAUCAAGCAAAAAUUAAGACUCAACAAAAUAUAAAAAAUUAAACAACAACAGGUGACGCGAAGUACGUAGCUAAAAAAAACGAAACGAAUCGAAAUGAAAGACUGUCGCCAGCCAGUCAGACGUUGUUUUAGUUGUUGCAGUUGUUGUUAUUUCCCCUAUUGUUGAUUACGUACCCCACACACACACUCUCACACAAAUGCGCUCUGUAAAACACGCGCACGCACACAACCAACCGACCCCAUCGUCGACCACAUUCCCCCGCACAAAUAUGCGAAAUUUUGCUGACUAAGGAAGGUCUGGGGAGCACCAGGCAGAAAAAAAGCAGCAGAAAGCAAAAAUGAGGCUAAAAAGCACAGCGCGAUAACAACAAUAGCGUUUAAAACGUAGAAGCACAAAACGAAGCAACGGAAAAAGUGAUAAUAAAAUAAUAAUUGCUACAGCGCACACCGAUCGCGCGCAAGAGAGAGAGAGAGAGAGCAGGCCAGAGUUGCCAUAUUAGCUUUAGAUGAGGUAGAAACCACAUUAGCAACCCCCACUCCAUCCCCAAUCCACUUAUUCAGCACGAUCUGCCCAUCUGUGUUUCACCUUAACUUUUUUAUAGCUAAACUUCUCUUUUGUAGCUCAUUUGGGACAUCGUAUGGGACAUCAUUUAGGACAUGGAAUGUCAUUUAAGAAAAAAGUCUGAUUUUGUAAAAUUCGAACGCUAUAAUUUAUUAAUUAUUUAUUAUUCUUAGACGGCUUCCCUUAAUUAUGUACAGGUAGGUGUUCUAAGCUUUUUUUGGGUCUAGCUACUUUUCAAUGGCAGCAGGACUGUUUGCCAUGUGGCGACGAAGCCCCACAGCCAGAGCCAGUGCUCCCCCGCUUCCCGCUCCCGCACCCAGCCACUGGCGGUUCGCUCGCGAACAUGACUAAGCCAAACAACUUGACAACACUGUCGGGGAAUUGUUGCUGUCUUUGAGUCAAUUCAUAAGAAACGAGGAAACCCGCCGCCAUAUCGUUGUUGCUGCCGUAUUUAUUUAUCCAUUAAAAAUCCAUCUACGAUAAGGACAGCGAAUUGGCCAAAGAGCUUGGCAACAACAAUGGUAUCAGAACCACCAAAAGUCCCCCGAAGUCUGAAACUUUCUGUGCCAAAUCGAACGGAAGCGAUUCGAUAAGAACUAUCUCACACAACCCCUCUCAAUAUGGAAAAUCCAUCAUACGUAUGUAUGUACAUAUGUAGAUACAUACAUGCAUAUGUAUAUAUUCCAUUCUAUAGGAAUAGUUUUCGAUGUGUGCUCAGAUGUACAUUUAUUUGGACAGUUGACGUACGAUAACGCUCAGCACUUGGUCGCCGAUGAUAUCACGAAGAAAGGUAAACAAUCUAAUCAAUAAACACAAUCAAGCGAGGACGAGUGGAACGCACUCAUCUAUUAGAGCAACACCUAUGUACAUACAUACAUACAUACAUAGGUAUACACGUAGACAAGUCUGCAUACGCCUAGAAAUGUACACGGAAAGAAAUUGGUCAUUGUCAUAUGAAGCUUGAGCUCAUCUUGUGACAUCAGAAUUAUAUUUUGAAACAUCACGAAAUGGUUUUCCUAUCGUGCAAUAGUCUUUUGAUAAGAUUAUAAUAGUUUUGAUAGUGACAAUAAAUUAACUGAUCUGUCCAGCAAAUCUAUUUAAUUUCGUUUUCACAGUUUCCACUUAGUCCUUUUCAUUGUAUCAUAUGUACAUACAUACAUAUAUGUAAAUAGUACUGAGGAAUUGUAAUACUAUGGCAAUGAUUUGCCUUGUAUCUAAAGUAUUUCUAGGUGCAUGCAUUCGGUAUCCGUAUCUGUGUAAUACCAGUUGUUGGUACUCGUGGUCGAACUCGUACGAUUAAUCGAACAGGCGACGCUGCCACAUGCACGCGACGAUUGAUUACAGCAAUAAAACGUCUAUCGCAUCGAUUGAUUUAAAAAUAUAAACCCACACACACACACUCUCAGUCAGUCGAAGCCAUCGCAUAUGAUCGACAAUUAGGCUGCACGGCAACAAUUAACCGGGCAUCUGUGUCGGUGUAUCUGUGUGUCUGUGCGCGUUGCUGUGCGUCUGUGGUAGUGGCAAGUAUCUGCGAGUCUGGCAAACAUAAAUAGGCACAAGUGGCCGGCCCCAAAAGUGCAGCACAGGCAACAGUACCAAACCAAGAACAACACCCAGCGUACGUCGCCCCCGACGGGUUCUUACUCAUUCACGCAUUGGGUAAUCGAUACACUUGCAGACACACAUGGAGAAACGCUGCUCAGCCGCCAAAUGAAACCAUUAAGCGCUACAUAAAGCAGUCCACGUCGGGGAAGUCGGGGCCUCUCGGGUGUCAGGGGGGUACGGCGGGGCAUGGAGAGCGGCUGGGGCGACGCUGGAAACAUUGCAACCAGAAGCUACGAUCGCCAGUGCCGCCAAAGUGGCGACAGUCCCACACAGGCAAAAAAAGUUGUACUACAGCUAAUACUUCAAUUGUAUUUAAGAUUUCUUAAUUCUUGAAAACAAUAGAUACAUAUGUAUGUACCUAGAUACAAACAUAUGUAGAUAUAUUAUAUAGAUACAUGUAUAAUAUAGGUAAUCUAAAGCAGCUAUUUAGACUUAGUUGAUAUGUAUACAUAGAUUCAGAUUUAUUUAAGUGAUCAUACUUAAAUCAAGAUAUACAGUAACAGAUUUUCUGCCAGUGCACCUCUGGCUCCAAACUCCGGCGCAGACAGACAACGCAAACAAUCAGAGAGCUGGGCAGCAGCAACAACAACACGGCAGCACACAACACGGCGACGUGAUCAUGUCUGGCCCGUUCAGCAGUUCAGCCGUUCAGCAAAUGUUGGCGACGUCGCCGUUGCCGUCGCCGCUCGGCGGAUCCAACUUUGUUAUUAUUACCGCUUGUGCACAUGCCCCCAACUGCCCACGAUUCGAUGUUGCCGCUCCGCUGUCCGCAGAGCAAACAGGUUUGACCAUUCACUUGAACCGCUUUUGGGAGUCGCCAACUGGAGGAGGAGGCUCCUCCACACGAUGGGGGUGCUCAGGGGCGGAGGGACUGUGCCAGGGGAGUUCCAGGGGAAGGGGGUUGGUUGGUUGUCUUCGUCAUCGACAUUAAACGUAAUCAAUAGAGCGAACUUCUUUAAUUGAGCAUCGGUAACGUGCGAGAGACAAAAGCGAAGCGACAAUCAAAACUAAUUGAAUGCACAGUGCAAAAAAUACCCAUUUUGAGAUAAACGACGCAGGAUUGAUUGCCAUUGGCAAGAUCACGGAGAGAAAUAUUUAUCAUUUUAUGUACAAGGAAAUUUAUCAGGAAUUUCAAAGUUUCCAUUUAUCUAUCAAGAUCUAUUUAUCUAAUUAUAUUUUUAUAUAAAUUAAUUUUAUAAAGUUGCUUAAAUCAAUACUAUGGAAUAGAUUUAAAAUAAAGAGAUGGUUGCUAAAACACAUAUUACAUGUUGAUAUGUUAUUAUUGUUCAAGUGCAAUAAUGUUGCAUGUAUAUUAAGGUGGCCAAUUGUUACUGUGCAGCAUUAAUAAGUAGCUUAUCCUAAACCGAUUUCCGUUCCACAUAUAAUUGCACGGCACAUAACAACCUGCCCAAUUACGCAUUGCAUAGUUAUGGGCGUUAUCGAUUUUGGAAGCCGCUUAGACCCAAUGCCAAGUUGAUCGAACUGUGCUGCAAAAGCCAGCCAGACCAUUUGCGUCUAUAUUGGGGCACCACUACCAUCCGGUUGUCAUGGGGAAACUCCGGUGGGAGCACUUCGUGGCCGGAUUGGGAGUGUCCGACAUUACGAGUAAUGCUUCCGUUGAUCGACGGAAUUCCCAUUUGCCAACGAGUGCCUAUUAAUUUCUUUUAAGAACGUGCACAAGUUAUGUUUAUAAGAAUUACUAUUCCUUACUUAUCAAGAGGGGCAGUAAUAUUAUAAAGUGUGGAAUGGGGCACCAUCUUACCUAUAAAUAUCUCUUAAUUUGUUAUUUGUUUUAGAAUUAGUUCUGAGUAUUAACGAUUGCUAGUCCUAAAAAAUAUUUUAAUAAAUCAUCUACAAUUAUCUACCGAAAUUCAGUUGAAAACAACUUGCAAAUCUCAUUCACGGUGACUAUAUGAAACAGAUUAUCAAAUCAUCUAAAAUAAUCGACAACGAAUUAAGAAACCACUUGAUGGGCGUAAAAUAGAACACGGCACUAUAAGGAGAUAAGCCUAUAAUUAUUCUGUAAAUUCAUAGCUGAUUUCCAAUAACAUCAUCCCCAUCUCAGCAGUUCGAUCCGCACUAUCAGUACGUGGCCUUUCCACAGAAAAGGCUAUCGGAUUGAAUCCAGAGUUUCUUAGUCAGACUGCCUGGUGGUGGUGGUGGUACUAUAAUAGUGGAUCCGAUUCGAUUGGAAAGUGACUGAAUGCGUCAGCACUGAAUAAAUAAACGUGGACGCCCAGACCUUAGUCAACUGCCAACUACAAGUUUUCGACGUUAUAUGUAUACUCGUAUAUACAUAGUGGGCCCAAACAGAAUUGACCGCGCGGAGCUUUUGGUGUUUGGACCCGCUUAACUUGGCCAUUAUACGAUUGUCGAUUGCUCAUUUGUUGACACGCAACACUGGCUUUUCGCCGUUGGCAGUCAGCUGAAAACGCGGUGCGAGUAACACAUCACCGACUGAGGUGGAAUAAUCGGCGAAAACAGCCGCCCAGUCCGGAUUUUAGUUAUUUUAGUUUAUUUACCCAACCUCAACUAUCCAAUAACAACAAUCAGAAAAGCCCCAGAGGGCUGCAAACUAUGAAUCAAGUGGAAUUUACAUAUACACGCAGUUUCAUCUGCCGUGAGUUGUACUCAUUCACAAUUAAGGAAAUACAAGCAACGUAGUGCUAUCUGAAUAAAUGGCCAGAAAUUAAAAUAAUUUCUUGUGAUAGUUAUAACAACGGUCUUGAGAAACGAUAGAUAAAUAAAGUAUAUGUCUUGGCCUAAGGAAAAUUUUAAAUAGAGUUUUCCUCAUAAUGAUUUUGCUGAUAUAUUAUUGACCUUUCGGAAUAGCGAGGUAUAUAACCCAUUUAGCUGUUAACCCAAAAUUCGUAGGGUACUUCAAAUUCGUUAGUACCCGUUUUCCAAGUUUAUGUACACAAGUCCGAGAGUCGAUGCCUCUGGCUGCUGGUGCCGCAGUUGCUCCGGCUGAUUGGGAAUCGCCAGUUUGGCGACUGCUUGCACAGAUACAGAUAGAGAUACACACUCUCGGGGGCCAGAGAUACAAAUACAGAUACUUCUGUACACAUUCUUCGGCACGACGCUUGUCGGCGUACUUGUAGCGUCUAUAAAAUCGCUUUAUAUUAAGCACCGAGAGCAGUAAAUAAAACGCAAAACGCGGCGAUCGCAGACGAGUGACGCC
This is a long non-coding RNA of Drosophila yakuba, 5977 nucleotides long. RefSeq lists it as uncharacterized. NCBI's taxonomy places the organism in Eukaryota, Metazoa, Arthropoda, Insecta, Diptera, Drosophilidae. The transcript has 2 exons. The record is from RefSeq and is a predicted model, not a curated record.